RNAcentral lists this unclassified non-coding RNA (644 nucleotides) under Hevea brasiliensis (rubber tree). The record is from RNAcentral. Lineage: Eukaryota; Viridiplantae; Streptophyta; Magnoliopsida; Malpighiales; Euphorbiaceae.
CAUGUCCUCAGGCCUCUCCCAGCAACUGUGAUCGGCAUAAGGAUCACCAACUAGCGCAAAUACAAAGCCGGGAAUGCUGGUGGCUUUAAGGAAGUAAUCAGUUGCCCACUGAAUAGCUUCUAGUGCACGUUGCUGAUCAGGACCCAUGAACUUGCCAAACUCUGUUACACUCCAAGCCAGCAUUGUCGUUGAGAAUGCCAUUGGAAAGUUGAAUUUAACAUUGUCACCAGCAUCAUAGUAUCCGCCCACCAAAUCAACACCAAUCUGAUGGCCGUCGUUAAGAGCAGAAUCCUUUCUCCAAGUGAUCCUUUGGGUAGAGGGUAACUUCCCUGACCUCUGUCCUUCAAAGAACAAAAUGCUCUUACUGAGUGCAUCCCCAUAAUCAUGUGAAGCGACCCUCAUCACCGCAAACAUCGCCAUCAUCCCUGCCAAUGCCAACAAUCUUUCUGAAAGACUCAUUCUCUCUCAAACAAUGGUGAACGAAAGCCCACGUCUCUUUCACUUCUUGUAUAACUAUCCAAGAAAGAUACACAUAAAUGCAUAAGGGCAGAAAGAAAGAACGUAGGGAUGAUCCUUCACUUUAGAGCGAACUAUAUUCCUUUCAGUAAGAAGGUAGAUGGAAAGUUUUGUACGCAGAAAUAGAG